UGAGUACGAGAUGCUACGGCAUCGAAGCAGUCUAUGUCAUACUUCCAAGAAAAGCUUGCACUGUCAUAAACAAAGAAUGCCUGUACCAUAACCGACACAGGUGGGUAGGUAGAGUAUACUAAGGGGCGCGAGAUAACUCUCUCUAAGGAACUCGGCAAAAUGACUCCGUAACUUCGGGAGAAGGAGUGCCUUAUUUCUAAGGUUGCAAUAACAAGAUCCAAGCAACUGUUUACCAAAAACACAGGUCUCCGCUAAGUCGUAAGACGAUGUAUGGGGGCUGACGCCUGCCCAGUGCCAGAAGGUUAAAGAAGUUGGUUAGCAUUAGCGAAGCUGAUAACUGAAGCCCUGGUGAACGGCGGCCGUAACAAUAACGGUCCUAAGGUAGCGAAAUUCCUUGUCGGGUAAGUUCCGACCCGCACGAAAGGCGUAAUGAUUUGGAUACUGUCUCGGAGAGGGGCUCGGUGAAAUAGACUUGUCUGUGAAGAUGCGGACUACCUGCACCUGGACAGAAAGACCCUAUGAAGCUUUACUGUAACUUGAGAUUGAAAUUGGACUUUAUUUGCGCAGUAUAGGUGGGAGGCGUUGAGAAUAAUCUUGCGGGAUUGUUGGAGCCAUCAGUGAGAUACCACUCUUGUAAUGUUAGAUUUCUAACUUUGUAUCAUUAUCUGGUCAAAGAACAGUUUCAGGCGGGCAGUUUGACUGGGGCGGUCGCCUCCCAAAGGGUAACGGAGGCGCACAAAGGUUUCCUCUGAACGGGUAGAAAUCGUAUCUAGAGUGUAAAGGCAUAAGGAAGCUUGACUAUGAGACCUACAAGUCGAGCAGGGACGAAAGUCGGUCUUAGUGAUCUGACGGUGCUGAGUGGAAAGGCCGUCACUCAACGGAUAAAAGUUACUCUAAGGAUAACAGGCUGAUCUCCCCCAAGAGUUCACAUCGACGGGGAGGUUUGGCACCUCGAUGUCGGCUCAUCGCAUCCUGGGGCGGUAGUCCGUCCCAAGGGUUGGGCUGUUCGCCCAUGAAAGCGGUACGCGAGCUGGGUUCAGAACGUCGUGAGACAGUUCGGUCCAUAUCCGGUGUAGGCGUUAGAAUAUUGAGAGGAGCCUUCUCUAGUACGAGAGGACCGAGAAGGACAUACCUCUGGUGUACCAGUUAUCGUGCCAACGGUAAACGCUGGGUAGCUAUGUAUGGAGUGGAUAACCGCUGAAAGCAUCUAAGUGGGAAGCCCACCUCAAGAUAAG
RNAcentral lists this ribosomal RNA (1235 nucleotides) under metagenome. RNAcentral describes it as "bacterial LSU rRNA". It matches the Rfam family "Bacterial large subunit ribosomal RNA", at positions 1564 to 2808 of the family's 2925-position model. The record is from RNAcentral.